CCUACGGGAGGCACCAGUGGGGAAUAUUGGACAAUGGGCGAAAGCCUGAUCCAGCAAUGCCGCGUGUGUGAAGAAGGUCUUCGGAUUGUAAAGCACUUUCGACGGGGACGAUGAUGACGGUACCCGUAGAAGAAGCCCCGGCCAACUUCGUGCCAGCAGCCGCGGUAAUACGAAGGGGGCUAGCGUUGUUCGGAAUGACUGGGCGUAAGGGGCGCGUAGGCGGUUUAUGCAGUCAGAUGUGAAAUCCCCGGGCUUAACCCGGGAACUGCAUUUGAGACGCAUAGACUAGAGGUCGAGAGAGGGUUGUGGAAUUCCCAGUGUAGAGGUGAAAUUCGUAGAUAUUGGGAAGAACACCGGUGGCGAAGGCGGCAACCUGGCUCGAUACUGACGCUGAGGCGCGAAAGCGUGGGGAGCAAACAGGAUUAGAUACCCCUGUAGUC
This 440-nucleotide ribosomal RNA is filed under the name uncultured bacterium. Its description in RNAcentral is "bacterial SSU rRNA". It matches the Rfam family "Bacterial small subunit ribosomal RNA", at positions 338 to 795 of the family's 1533-position model. The record is from RNAcentral.